This 1260-nucleotide ribosomal RNA is filed under the name metagenome. RNAcentral's name for it is "bacterial LSU rRNA". It matches the Rfam family "Bacterial large subunit ribosomal RNA", at positions 1676 to 2925 of the family's 2925-position model. The record is from RNAcentral.
GUAUUCUAAGGCGCUUGAGAGAACUCAGGAGAAGGAACUCGGCAAAUUGACACCGUAACUUCGGAAGAAGGUGUGCCUUUAGUAGGUGAAGUCCCUGCGGAUGGAGCCCAAUGAGGUUGCAAAAAAUCGGUGGCUGCGACUGUUUAAUAAAAACACGGCACUCUGCAAACACGAAAGUGGACGUAUAGGGUGUGACGCCUGCCCGGUGCUGGAAGAUUUAAUGAUGGGGUGCAAGCUCUUGAUUGAAGUCCCAGUAAACGGCGGCCGUAACAAUAACGGUCCUAAGGUAGCGAAAUUCCUUGUCGGGUAAGUUCCGACCUGCACGAAUGGCGUAACGAUGGCCACACUGUCUCCUCCUGAGACUCAGCGAAGUUGAAAUGUUUGUGAUGAUGCAAUCUCCCCGCGGAAAGACGGAAAGACCCCAUGAACCUUUACUGUAGCUUUGUAUUGGACUUUGAACGGAUCUGUGUAGGAUAGGUGGGAGGCUUUGAAGCAGGGUCGCUAGAUCUUGUGGAGCCAACGUUGAAAUACCACCCUGGUGCGUUUGAGGUUCUAACCUAGGUCCAUUAUCUGGAUCGGGGACAGUGCAUGGUAGGCAGUUUGACUGGGGCGGUCUCCUCCCAAAGCGUAACGGAGGAGUUCGAAGGUACGCUAGUUACGGUCGGACAUCGUGACGAUAGUGCAAUGGCAUAAGCGUGCUUAACUGCGAGACUGACAAGUCGAGCAGAUGCGAAAGCAGGACAUAGUGAUCCGGUGGUUCUGUAUGGAAGGGCCAUCGCUCAACGGAUAAAAGGUACUCUGGGGAUAACAGGCUGAUACCGCCCAAGAGUUCAUAUCGACGGCGGUGUUUGGCACCUCGAUGUCGGCUCAUCUCAUCCUGGGGCUGUAGCCGGUCCCAAGGGUAUGGCUGUUCGCCAUUUAAAGAGGUACGUGAGCUGGGUUUAAAACGUCGUGAGACAGUUUGGUCCCUAUCUUCCGUGGGCGCUGCAGAUUUGAGAAAGCCUGCUCCUAGUACGAGAGGACCGGAGUGGACGCACCUCUGGUGUAUCGGUUGUCACGCCAGUGGCAUUGCCGAGUAGCUAAGUGCGGAAGAGAUAACCGCUGAAAGCAUCUAAGCGGGAAACUCGUUUCAAGAUGAGAUCUGCCGGGGCCUUGAGCCCCCUAAAGAGUCGUUCAAGACCAGGACGUUGAUAGGUCAGGUGUGGAAGCGCAGUAAUGCGUUAAGCUAACUGAUACUAAUUGCUCGUGCGGCUUGACCAA